GGGUUUGAGAUUCUCUCAAUUGGCAAGUUCUUGGGUUUUGCUCCGAGCUGCAGUCAAAAUCAAAGUGUAUUGGUACACAUCAGCAGGGUGCAUGGUGGACAUUACUAGGCCUUUAUCAGGCCGAUGUUUUCUGAUUAUUGAAAGUUUCAGAAGCAUCAAUCCUUGUUGGAAUUCUACCAGAUAACUGUUUUUUGAAGGAUCAAGAGACGCCAUCAUUUUCAAGUGACCAAAGUGUUUGCACCCUUACCUGUCGGUAAUUUACGUGAGAGGUUUAGAGAAGCACAUUCCUGAUGUUUGGAGGAAAUGGUUGUAAUAAGUGGUUAUUGCUAUUAUAUGAAGAUAAUGAAGUUCUCUCUGCAUCCACAUCCAUUGAGAAAGAAGGGCAUGCCUAGUGUUGAAAUGUUGGAUUCUUAUCUGGACUGAACUUGAAAGGAAGAGAUAGGGGUGAUUAUCAUAGUGAUCUGCUCAAUAAAACUUUCAUGAAACUUCCAGAAAACAAGUUGAAUAACAGAAACAUGAUCGAGUUAGAUUGGAACAGAUUAAUUCACAUGUUGUGGAAUGAAACAGUAAUAGCAGCUAGUUAUUUUUGAGUUAAUUGAGAAAGCUAGGUUUAAAUCACAGCCAAAAAAAGACGAGGAAGCUAAACAGAGUUUUGUUUCAUGGAAUCGAAGGGGCUUAUAUAUACCAGCCCAUAUUACAUACAAUCCAUACACGUUUCUCAAGAGCAAC
RNAcentral lists this long non-coding RNA (729 nucleotides) under Rosa chinensis. Its description in RNAcentral is "sRNA RchiOBHm_Chr7g0207551". The record is from RNAcentral. Lineage: Eukaryota; Viridiplantae; Streptophyta; Magnoliopsida; Rosales; Rosaceae.